UUUUUUUGUUGUUAUUUAGUGAUAAGAAGAAUGUGUUAAAAUGUAUUUAACUUUUUUUUGCUUGUUAUUUAUUUAUUUUUGUUGAACGGUUUAGAUUGAAGAAAAUUAAUUUUAUUGAACGGUUUAGAUUUAAUCGGAUUAUAUAAAGUUUAGGAGAUUGUUAAGACCAAAUUACCCUUAAUGAUUUUGAAUAGCAAAGAACAAAAUCCAAAAUUAAAAUCAAAAUUGAGGCCAAAUUAGACAAAAUUUCAGUUUGUACUUUCCUUUUAAUAAUAAGAGGAUACUUUCUUGUGGAAGUGCCCAGAAUUAAAAUAAAGUAUUUGU
This 324-nucleotide small RNA is filed under the name Arabidopsis thaliana (thale cress). RNAcentral describes it as "ATSL306990". The record is from RNAcentral. Lineage: Eukaryota; Viridiplantae; Streptophyta; Magnoliopsida; Brassicales; Brassicaceae.